RNAcentral lists this ribosomal RNA (325 nucleotides) under uncultured bacterium. RNAcentral's name for it is "bacterial SSU rRNA". It matches the Rfam family "Bacterial small subunit ribosomal RNA", at positions 28 to 334 of the family's 1533-position model. The record is from RNAcentral.
GAUGAACGCUGGCGGCGUGCUUAACACAUGCAAGUCGAGCGAAGCGCUUAAGUUUGAUUCUUCGGAUGAAGACUUUUGUGACUGAGCGGCGGACGGGUGAGUAACGCGUGGGUAACCUGCCUCAUACAGGGGGAUAACAGUUAGAAAUGACUGCUAAUACCGCAUAAGACCACAGGGUCGCAUGACCCGGUGGUAAAAACUCCGGUGGUAUGAGAUGGACCCGCGUCUGAUUAGCUAGUUGGUGGGGUAACGGCCCACCAAGGCGACGAUGGGUAGGGGUUCUGAGAGGAAGGUCCCCCACACUUGGAACUGAGACACGGUCCAA